RNAcentral lists this small RNA (586 nucleotides) under Pan troglodytes (chimpanzee). Its description in RNAcentral is "retained intron". Lineage: Eukaryota; Metazoa; Chordata; Mammalia; Primates; Hominidae. The record is from RNAcentral.
AGGGAAAUGAGCUGAGCAGAGGGUUUGAGUCAGAACAGCAGCCCCCGGUUUUCCCAGCUGCCCAGCAGUGAAGGCAACCUGACAUGUGGCAUCCAUCUCCCCACAGUGCUCCAGCUUUUCUGCAGCUCACCCAAGGCUGCUCUCCGCUAUGCUGCUGUUCGUACCCUCAAUAAGGUUGCCAUGAAGCAUCCGUCAGCUGUGACAGCUUGUAAUCUGGAUCUGGAGAACCUGGUCACAGAUUCAAACCGCAGCAUUGCCACGCUGGCCAUCACUACCCUCCUUAAGACGGGCAGCGAGAGCAGCAUCGACCGCCUCAUGAAGCAGAUCUCCUCCUUCAUGUCAGAAAUCUCGGAUGAAUUCAAGGUGGUGGUUGUCCAGGCCAUCAGUGCCCUGUGUCAGAAAUAUCCUCGCAAACACGCCGUCCUUAUGAACUUCCUGUUCACCAUGCUGCGGGAAGAGGGUGGCUUUGAGUAUAAGCGCGCUAUCGUGGACUGCAUCAUCAGCAUCAUUGAAGAGAACUCAGAGAGCAAGGAGACAGGGCUGUCACAUCUGUGCGAGUUCAUCGAGGACUGUGAGUUCACAGUGC